Molecule: long non-coding RNA, 520 nt
Filed under: Vombatus ursinus (common wombat)
Lineage: Eukaryota; Metazoa; Chordata; Mammalia; Diprotodontia; Vombatidae
Description: lncRNA (ENSVURG00010013709.1)
Source: RNAcentral
GAUGAUUGUGCGGUAGCUCUUGCUAGUACAAGCCUUGAACCUACUUGUAAAAAGUCACUGGAGGUGGGGAAAGGGGAAGUGCUGCAAAUACUUUUUUAAGUGCAAAGGGAAAAGUUGCCAAGUUUAACUUCGAGAUCAGAGGAUUCCAAGAGGAAACAGCAUCCAACUCUCCCUGCCCCCUUAAAAACAAACCCUUAGGGCCCUGUUUCGCUGUAGCUAAAGGUGAGCAGGAAUGGGGAGGGGUUGUGGAGCGAAGUGAACAAAAGCCAGUAUAGAGACGGCGGAAGGGCAGCGCCUUGGGCUCCUCUUCGGGACGAUUGCGGGGUGGGAGACGGAGGUCAUGGAGUGGUCCCCACAACAAAGCCCCUCCGCCUCGCAAGAAUGCAUCUGCAGUGCGUGCUCCCUCCUCUCCGGGGCCGCGCCUUCUUCUCCAGGGCCUCCGCCGCAGUGUGUGGUAUUUAGCGGGAACGCGCGGCAGGCUCGAGCUCGAGCGAAGCGGCGGCGGCUGGGCAGCAGAGGG